GACGGAGGGGGCAAGCGUUGUCCGGAAUCACUGGGCGUAAAGGGCGUGUAGGUGGUCUGCUGCGUCGGCGCUGAAAUCUCCCGGCUUAACCUGGAGGCGCGUGCCGAUACGAGCAGACUUGAGGCAGGGAGAGGGUAGCGGAAUUCCAGGUGUAGUGGUGAAAUACGUAGAUAUCUGGAGGAACACCGGUGGCGAAAGCGGCUUGCUAGCCCAACACUGACACUGAGGCCCGAAAGCGUGUGGAUCAAACAGG
Molecule: ribosomal RNA, 253 nt
Filed under: uncultured bacterium
Lineage: Bacteria
Description: partial 16S ribosomal RNA
Rfam family: Bacterial small subunit ribosomal RNA
Source: RNAcentral